This 506-nucleotide ribosomal RNA is filed under the name uncultured bacterium. RNAcentral describes it as "partial 16S ribosomal RNA". It matches the Rfam family "Bacterial small subunit ribosomal RNA", at positions 30 to 523 of the family's 1533-position model. The record is from RNAcentral.
AUUGAACGCUGGCGGCAGGCCUAACACAUGCAAGUCGAGCGGCAGCGGAAAGUAGCUUGCUACUUUGCCGGCGAGCGGCGGACGGGUGAGUAAUGUCUGGGAAACUGCCCGAUGGAGGGGGAUAACUACUGGAAACGGUGGCUAAUACCGCAUAACGUCUUCGGACCAAAGUGGGGGACCUUCGGGCCUCACACCAUCGGAUGUGCCCAGAUGGGAUUAGCUAGUAGGUGGGGUAAUGGCUCACCUAGGCGACGAUCCCUAGCUGGUCUGAGGGGAUGACCAGCCACACUGGAACUGAGACACGGUCCAGACUCCUACGGGAGGCAGCAGUGGGGAAUAUUGCACAAUGGGCGCAAGCCUGAUGCAGCCAUGCCGCGUGUGUGAAGAAGGCCUUCGGGUUGUAAAGCACUUUCAGCGAGGAGGAAGGCAGUCGUGUUAAUAGCGCGACUGAUUGACGUUACUCGCAGAAGAAGCACCGGCUAACUGCGUGCCAGCAGCCGCGGUAA